This 442-nucleotide ribosomal RNA is filed under the name uncultured bacterium. RNAcentral's name for it is "partial 16S ribosomal RNA". It matches the Rfam family "Bacterial small subunit ribosomal RNA", at positions 338 to 795 of the family's 1533-position model. The record is from RNAcentral.
CCUACGGGAGGCAGCAGUAGGGAAUCUUUCACAAUGGGCGAAAGCCUGAUGGAGCAACGCCGCGUGCAGGAUGAAGGCCUUCGGGUUGUAAACUGCUUUUAUAAGCGAGAAAUAUGAUGGUAACUUAUGAAUAAGGAUCGGCUAACUACGUGCCAGCAGCCGCGGUCAUACGUAGGAUCCGAGCAUUAUCCGGAGUGACUGGGUGUAAAGAGUUGCGUUGGUGGCAUAAUAAGUAGCUAGUGAAAUCUGGUGGCUCAACCAUUCAGACUAUUAGCUAAACUGUUAAGCUCGAGACCGUUAGGGGUAACUGGAAUUUCUAGUGUAGGAGUGAAAUCCGGAGAUAUUAGAAGGAACACCAAUAGCGUAGGCAGGUUGCUGGGACGGUUCUGACACUAAGGCACGAAAGCGUAGGGAGCAAACGGGAUUAGAUACCCGGGUAGUC